GAUAAGAUAAGAUAAAAUAAGAUAAGAUAAGAUAAGAUAAGAUAAGAUAAGAUAAGAUAAAAUAAAAUAAGAUAAGAUAAGAUAAGAUAAGAUAAAAAUACGAAAUAAAAAUAUGAAAAACAUAUGAACAUCAUUAAAAAACUUGAUAGGUACAAACAGAGUUUAACAAGAUGAAUCUAGAAUUCUUUGUUCUGAUAAAAUUAAAAUAAAAAGACACACAACGUAUAGUGAUACAAUGUGUUUUAUUCCUUGUAAAAUAACCGAUAAAAAAUUUGAGAGGUUUAGAUGUCAUAGAAUAAUGGUUGCAUUGAUAAGAACAGAAUAUUUUCUUGAAAUGAUAGACAAAGUGUUACAACCACUGAUAUUUAACAAAAAGUUCACACAGUCACAGUACUCAAAGCUUU
Molecule: long non-coding RNA, 404 nt
Filed under: Mytilus galloprovincialis (Mediterranean mussel)
Lineage: Eukaryota; Metazoa; Mollusca; Bivalvia; Mytilida; Mytilidae
Source: RNAcentral